This 216-nucleotide long non-coding RNA is filed under the name Homo sapiens (human). Its description in RNAcentral is "non-protein coding lnc-SELE-1:4". Lineage: Eukaryota; Metazoa; Chordata; Mammalia; Primates; Hominidae. The record is from RNAcentral.
CUGAGUUAAUUGGGAAGAAGAAAACCAUUUGUGAAUCAUCUGGAAUCUGGUCAAAUCCUAGUCCAAUAUGUCAAAGCAAGAAAUCCAAGAGAAGUAUGAAUGACCCAUAUUAAAUCGCCCUUGGUGAAAGAAAAUUCUUGGAAUACUAAAAAUCAUGAGAUCCUUUAAAUCCUUCCAUGAAACGUUUUGUGUGGUGGCACCUCCUACGUCAAACAU